Molecule: ribosomal RNA, 253 nt
Filed under: uncultured bacterium
Lineage: Bacteria
Description: partial 16S ribosomal RNA
Rfam family: Bacterial small subunit ribosomal RNA
Source: RNAcentral
UACAGAGGGUGCGAGCGUUAAUCGGAAUUACUGGGCGUAAAGCGUGCGUAGACGGUCAUGUAAGUCGGAUGUGAAAGCCCCGGGCUCAACCUGGGAAUUGCAUUUGAGACUGCAUAGCUAGGGUGCGGAAGAGGGAAGCGGAAUUUCCGGUGUAGCGGUGAAAUGCGUAGAUAUCGGAAGGAACACCAGUGGCGAAAGCGGCUUCCUGGUCCAGCACCGACGUUCAGGCACGAAAGCGUGGGGAGCAAACAGG